GCGUCGAGCGGCGGACGGGUGAGUAAUGCCUAGGAAAUUGCCCUGAUGUGGGGGAUAACCAUUGGAAACGAUGGCUAAUACCGCAUAAUGCCUACGGGCCAAAGAGGGGGACCUUCGGGCCUCUCGCGUCAGGAUAUGCCUAGGUGGGAUUAGCUAGUUGGUGAGGUAAUGGCUCACCAAGGCGACGAUCCCUAGCUGGUCUGAGAGGAUGAUCAGCCACACUGGAACUGAGACACGGUCCAGACUCCUACGGGAGGCAGCAGUGGGGAAUAUUGCACAAUGGGCGCAAGCCUGAUGCAGCCAUGCCGCGUGUGUGAAGAAGGCCUUCGGGUUGUAAAGCACUUUCAGUCGUGAGGAAGGUGGUGUAGUUAAUAGCUGCAUUAUUUGACGUUAGCGACAGAAGAAGCACCGGCUAACUCCGUGCCAGCAGCCGCGGUAAUACGGAGGGUGCGAGCGUUAAUCGGAAUUACUGGGCGUAAAGCGCAUGCAGGUGGUUUGUUAAGUCAGAUGUGAAAGCCCGGGGCUCAACCUCGGAAUAGCAUUUGAAACUGGCAGACUAGAGUACUGUAGAGGGGGGUAGAAUUUCAGGUGUAGCGGUGAAAUGCGUAGAGAUCUGAAGGAAUACCGGUGGCGAAGGCGGCCCCCUGGACAGAUACUGACACUCAGAUGCGAAAGCGUGGGGAGCAAACAGGAUUAGAUACCCUGGUAGUCCACGCCGUAAACGAUGUCUACUUGGAGGUUGUGGCCUUGAGCCGUGGCUUUCGGAGCUAACGCGUUAAGUAGACCGCCUGGGGAGUACGGUCGCAAGAUUAAAACUCAAAUGAAUUGACGGGGGCCCGCACAAGCGGUGGAGCAUGUGGUUUAAUUCGAUGCAACGCGAAGAACCUUACCUACUCUUGACAUCCAGAGAACUUUUCAGAGAUGGAUUGGUGCCUUCGGGAACUCUGAGACAGGUGCUGCAUGGCUGUCGUCAGCUCGUGUUGUGAAAUGUUGGGUUAAGUCCCGCAACGAGCGCAACCCUUAUCCUUGUUUGCCAGCGAGUAAUGUCGGGAACUCCAGGGAGACUGCCGGUGAUAAACCGGAGGAAGGUGGGGACGACGUCAAGUCAUCAUGGCCCUUACGAGUAGGGCUACACACGUGCUACAAUGGCGCAUACAGAGGGCAGCAAGCUAGCGAUAGUGAGCGAAUCCCAAAAAGUGCGUCGUAGUCCGGAUUGGAGUCUGCAACUCGACUCCAUGAAGUCGGAAUCGCUAGUAAUCGUGGAUCAGAAUGCCACGGUGAAUACGUUCCCGGGCCUU
This 1298-nucleotide ribosomal RNA is filed under the name Vibrio owensii. RNAcentral describes it as "bacterial SSU rRNA". It matches the Rfam family "Bacterial small subunit ribosomal RNA", at positions 88 to 1382 of the family's 1533-position model. The record is from RNAcentral. Lineage: Bacteria; Pseudomonadati; Pseudomonadota; Gammaproteobacteria; Vibrionales; Vibrionaceae.